UCUGAGCUUGUUGGAGAAGGUAAAGUGUGAGUUUGUGUCUCUGUAACACCAGCAGUCUAUUUUACAGGAUAUUGGUGGGGCAAAUGCAGAUGGCAGAAGGACUGCAGCAACCUGAAAAAUGCUGUUUGUCAUCCAAGCUUGAAUGGAACUCCAUGGAAGGCAGGCAGCAAACUUGUCACCACUCUCCCCUCCAGACUUGCAAGGGCUUGCUAUGAGGCAGAGGUAGCACUGAGCUCCUCCAGAAAAGACUAUACAGAACCUCCUGUUCAGCAUGGGGCAUUGUUUAUAUAGACAAUAGGGUGGCUCUGAGACCAUACAAAGAAGAUCCAAAGCUGCAUUCAAGGAUUAGAGUAAAUCUGUUGGAUUUCUUCCUCCUCUUCCCUUUCUAUGAUCUGCUGGAGUCCCUGCUGGUAUUUUGGAUAACUAGAAUUUUGUCACUGACCUGGUAAUGUCCACAGAGACCUAACCUUUGUUAUUAGCCCUCCUGAAUGUAAGUGCCAAAAUCUAUGUGUUUGCCUUAUCUCAUCAAACUGGAACCAAAUUCUGGUGUCAGCACAUUGCUGCCACAUCACUCAGUCAGUCCCCUUCAAGGCUAUAAUGAAGGGCAAUAGCAGCCAUGGACAAUACUUGUGGUGCAAGGUGCAAAGGUUCUUUGAUAAAAGGAUUCCUUCCUGAGUAUGUGACUAGGGGAUUUCAGCAAAAACCCUGAGAGCAAACAAGCUGAAUCACAUAGUUCUUUUAUAGCACAGAGAAUUACUGAUGUGUUAGUAGGAUAAAUCAGAUGUCAGCUCUCCCAGAGCACCAGAUUUGGCCAGGCAUCUUAUUUUCUCUGCUAAGUUUGAUGUUGUGUUUUUAAAAUUUAUUUACUUAUUUAUUACAUUUUCUUUCUUUGUCCUGUAGUGAGAGGAAAGGUCUGCAAACUGAACCAUACCUGCAUGCUUAUAUCAAUCUCAUGGUCCUACAAGCAGAGAGUCUGUAAGGUGAACUGAGCCAUAACUACAGGAGCAAGAAAUUUGUAUUGGUUUGCCUUCUAAAGGAACAGUCAGCUAUGGGACCUGUGAAGCACUUACUGUUAUGCCUCUGAGUUUAAGGAAAGUCCAGGCUGUUGGUUUUAUUUUUUAGGGAGAAUCUUUCUGUAUUUGUAUGCACACA
Molecule: long non-coding RNA, 1152 nt
Organism: Lepidothrix coronata (blue-crowned manakin)
Lineage: Eukaryota; Metazoa; Chordata; Aves; Passeriformes; Pipridae
Exons: 4
Source: RefSeq, a predicted model, not a curated record